GGGGGUGAACGGUCUCGACGGGGGUCGCCGAAGGCAGGGUUGCGCGCCGAGGUGCGGGUGGCCUCGUAAAAACCCGCAAAGCCACAAAGGCCAACAAGCCUGCUUACCGUCUCGCGGCUUAAUGACCGCGACGCCACGCCCCCUACCCCAGGCGAAGCGCAAGGGGGCUCGCCUCUGGCCGCCCGCCCCUAGGCCAAGCCAGGGGGACACCUGAAGGUGGGGCUACGCGCGUAGAGGCCCGCCGUAGGGACCUUCGGACGGGGGUUCAACUCCCCCCACCUCCACCA
Molecule: transfer-messenger RNA, 287 nt
Filed under: Thermus aquaticus
Lineage: Bacteria; Thermotogati; Deinococcota; Deinococci; Thermales; Thermaceae
Description: Standard tmRNA
Rfam family: transfer-messenger RNA
About the family: Bacterial tmRNA, also known as 10Sa RNA or SsrA, is named for its dual tRNA and mRNA-like properties. Its role is to liberate the mRNA from a stalled ribosome. To accomplish this part of the tmRNA is used as a reading frame that ends in a translation stop signal.
Source: RNAcentral